RNAcentral lists this ribosomal RNA (468 nucleotides) under uncultured bacterium. Its description in RNAcentral is "partial 16S ribosomal RNA". It matches the Rfam family "Bacterial small subunit ribosomal RNA", at positions 28 to 507 of the family's 1533-position model. The record is from RNAcentral.
GACGAACGCUGGCGGCGUGCUUAACACAUGCAAGUCGAACGGAAAGGCCCUGCGUUUGUUGCGUUCUCGAGUGGCGAACGGGUGAGUAACACGUGAGUAACCUGUCCCUGACUGUGUGAUAACUUCAGGGAACAGGGGCCAAUAUCCGAGAGGAGCUCCUGAUGCGUGGUGUGGGAUGGUAAGUUUCGGCGGUUGGGGCUGUACUCGCUGCUUAUCAGCUUGUUUGGGGGGUAGUGGCUUACCACGGCUUUGACGGGUAGCCCGCCUGAGAGGGUGAACGGCCACAUUGGGCCUACGAUACGCAGCAGUAUGGUAUGGGCGGCAACAGUGGGGAACAUUGCAGAGUGGCGCGGAGCGAGAUGUAGAAACGCCGCGAGCGGAAUGCCCGCUUUCGGGUUGUGAACCAAUUUCGACUGUGACGAAGCGUGAGUGACGGUACUGGGUAAAGAAGCCCCGGCUAACUACGUG